AACCCUUGCUGUGUGUUACAUGUGUCACACGGGACUGCCGGUCUUAAACCGGAGGAAGGUGGGGAUGACGUCAAGUCAGCAUGGCCUUUAUGUCCUGGGCUACACACACGCUACAAUGGCCGGUACAAUAGGUUGCGAAGCCGCGAGGCGGAGCCCAAUCCUCAAAAGCCGGCCUCAGUUCAGAUUGCAGGCUGCAACCCGCCUGCAUGAAGAUGGAGUUGCUAGUAACCGCAGGUCAGCUAUACUGCGGUGAAUACGUUCCCGGGGCUU
RNAcentral lists this ribosomal RNA (270 nucleotides) under uncultured Levilinea sp. RNAcentral's name for it is "partial 16S ribosomal RNA". It matches the Rfam family "Bacterial small subunit ribosomal RNA", at positions 1100 to 1382 of the family's 1533-position model. The record is from RNAcentral. Lineage: Bacteria; Bacillati; Chloroflexota; Anaerolineae; Anaerolineales; Anaerolineaceae.